ACCUACUCGGUAUAUUCUAGAAAGAAAAAAAAGAUACUGAUAAAGAGGAUCAUGUUUAAAAAAAAUUAAAGUCAAUAUUAUGGGCAUUUUAGUGUAGCCCAUUCUUUUUUGUACCACAAAGGAGAUCCUACACACGCUAAUUAAGCAUAUCUUAAGUGGUUCGGUCCGCCGUGCUGAAACAAGACUUGGGAUGUUUUUUUAGUGGGAGUGACGUAUUUUUACACUCAUCAACUGUAUGAGGGGUGAUGUCAACAUCAAGUUCUGCCGGUUCAAUCUCUCAGAUCAGAUGCUCACAAGGAUAGGAUGUAUGUGUGUGCAGUCUCUCAGAGGUGCUCACAAGGAUGGCAUGUGUGUGCGC
RNAcentral lists this long non-coding RNA (358 nucleotides) under Brachypodium distachyon (stiff brome). RNAcentral's name for it is "long non-coding RNA (BDIS_LNC003222)". The record is from RNAcentral. Lineage: Eukaryota; Viridiplantae; Streptophyta; Magnoliopsida; Poales; Poaceae.